UCCCUCUUAGCUCAGUUGGUACAGAACCUGCCUGCAAUGCAGGAGACCCAGGUUCGAUUCCUGGGUCAGGAA
RNAcentral lists this transfer RNA (72 nucleotides) under Capra hircus (goat). It matches the Rfam family "tRNA". Rfam says of the family: Transfer RNA (tRNA) molecules are approximately 80 nucleotides in length. Their secondary structure includes four short double-helical elements and three loops (D, anti-codon, and T loops). Further hydrogen bonds mediate the characteristic L-shaped molecular structure. tRNAs have two regions of fundamental functional importance: the anti-codon, which is responsible for specific mRNA codon recognition, and the 3' end, to which the tRNAs corresponding amino acid is attached (by aminoacyl-tRNA synthetases). tRNAs cope with the degeneracy of the genetic code in two manners: having more than one tRNA (with a specific anti-codon) for a particular amino acid; and 'wobble' base-pairing, i.e. permitting non-standard base-pairing at the 3rd anti-codon position. RNAcentral also lists the same sequence under 1 other name. Lineage: Eukaryota; Metazoa; Chordata; Mammalia; Artiodactyla; Bovidae. The record is from Rfam by way of RNAcentral.